RNAcentral lists this ribosomal RNA (500 nucleotides) under uncultured Glomeromycotina. Its description in RNAcentral is "partial small subunit ribosomal RNA". It matches the Rfam family "Eukaryotic small subunit ribosomal RNA", at positions 591 to 1092 of the family's 1831-position model. Lineage: Eukaryota; Fungi; Glomeromycota. The record is from RNAcentral.
CCAAUAGCGUAUAUUAAAGUUGUUGCAGUUAAAAAGCUCGUAGUUGAAUUUCGGGAUCAGUUCGUCGGUCGUGCCUUUGGUAUGUACUGGUGUUACUGGUUCCUCCCUUCUGACGAACCGUCAUGUCAUUAAUUUGGUGUGGCGGGAAAUCAGGACUGUUACUUUGAAAAAAUUAGAGUGUUUAAAGCAGGCUCGCGCUUGAAUACAUUAGCAUGGAAUAAUGAAAUAGGACGUUCGAUCCUAUUUUGUUGGUUUCUAGGAUUGACGUAAUGAUUAAUAGGGAUAGUUGGGGGCAUUAGUAUUCAAUUGUCAGAGGUGAAAUUCUUGGAUUUAUUGAAGACUAACUACUGCGAAAGCAUUUGCCAAGGAUGUUUUCAUUAAUCAAGAACGAAAGUUAGGGGAUCGAAGACGAUCAGAUACCGUCGUAGUCUUAACCAUAAACUAUGCCGACUAGGGAUCGGAUGAUGUUAAUUUUUUAAUGACUCAUUCGGCGCCUUACG